UUGACAGCCUUGAAGAACGGAACCCUCAGUUUAUGUCCGUAAUGGAGACAGAACAGGCAGCAGCAAUACAAGCUUCUCCGCAUCACCCUAUCAAUGUACCUCAACCCUGACCUGGAAGCAGCUUCCCUAGGGCUGAAAGGGAGUUCAUUCUCCGUGUCCAUUCAGUACAGUACUUAC
This is an unclassified non-coding RNA of Chelonoidis abingdonii (Abingdon island giant tortoise), 177 nucleotides long. The record is from Ensembl. NCBI's taxonomy places the organism in Eukaryota, Metazoa, Chordata, Testudines, Testudinidae.